AAAUUAUCUACAUCAUCAAUUUUGGCAUUGCAUCCAUAGGGAAUGGCUGAUCCGAACUCCCUUAUCAAGGAGUACCUUCUAUGUGGUGUGCUCAAUAUGGGGUCAUUUGUUAAAUGAUAUAUUUUUUAAUAAUUCGAACUUUAAAAAAAUUCAAUGCAGUUUUAAAUUCACUUAUCGAAAAGAUGUAUACAAAAAAGGAAACUGUAUUUUCAACGGAACAAGAUCUCAGAUUUCAAAUUAAAAUAUCUAUUGCAGGAUUGAAAUCUGCAGACUAAUAUAAAAAAGAAGAUGUGGUAUGAUUGCCAAUGAGACAACUAUCCACAAAAGACCAAAAUGACACAGACAUUAACAACUAUAGGUCACCGUACGGCCUUCAACAAUGAACAAAGCCCAUACCGCAUAGUGAGCUAUAAAAGGCCCCGAUAAGACAAUGUAAAACAAUUCAAACGAGAAAACUAACGGCCUUAUUUAUGUAAAAAAAUGAACGAAAAACAAAUAUGUAACACAUAAACAAACGACAACCACUGAAUUACAGGCUCCUGAUAAUGCCCAUUUAAAAGCCAAUGAAUGACCUAAAUAACAGAAUGAAAAACUUACCACGGGUUUUCAACUACAGGCGUACAUACAGUAGUUUGCAGAUACUGUUGAAAGGUUGGAUUUUCACGCACUUAAACUU
This 676-nucleotide long non-coding RNA is filed under the name Mytilus galloprovincialis (Mediterranean mussel). The record is from RNAcentral. Lineage: Eukaryota; Metazoa; Mollusca; Bivalvia; Mytilida; Mytilidae.